Molecule: long non-coding RNA, 1370 nt
Organism: Xenopus tropicalis (tropical clawed frog)
Lineage: Eukaryota; Metazoa; Chordata; Amphibia; Anura; Pipidae
Exons: 6
Source: RefSeq, a predicted model, not a curated record
ACAAAAUGGUGGCUGAGGGGAAAAGAUUGAGUUGCAGGCCCUUCCAGCAGUGCAGGUGUUAAGAUAAAAGGAGCAAAGCCCAUCACUGCCAUUCUGUUGGCUGCCAGGAAGAACCAUGUGACAGUUGAGAGCUGUCUGCGAGGUAGUGAGCAUCGGAAUCUCUGAGAAAAGAGCACAGGAGAGCCGGCUGGGGAGCUCAGGAAGUGCUAGCAGUGAAAAGCAAAUCUUCCUGCCGGGGUCACCACUUGCUUGGGAUCAGCCAUCUUACCUUCUUAAUUGGUUCUAUUGAGAGGUUAUAACAGCAGAAAUGGAGCCAAAGUCUUCCUCCCCGCAGAAGCAUACUGUGAAGAGUCGUUCUAAAUCCACUGAAGAGGUUCAGCAAGCAAAGAAGGCAUUUCAUACACCACAGAAGUCGCUUCCAAAUACAGGAGAAGAAGCCAAUCUACACGAGUCUGCUGACAAUACAGAAGAGGCUUCAUCAAAGGAGGGGACAUGUGAAAAUCAUGCAGAGCAUUAGUACCAUAGGAAAUUCAGUCAGAAAACCAGCUCCAAUUGUAUCUGAAAGCAAGUUUUAGGAUUGUUCCAUAUAAUCUGUGUUUUACCUCAGAGUGUUGGGAUGCCCUCGACCCAUCAUUUUAAUAUUUUGGCCAACUAUGAAUCUUAUACAAAAGACCUGAUUGAAAACAUAUUCAAAACAGACAGUAAUUGUACUACACCAUCAAUGGGUAGAGCAUUCAACAAUUUCCUUAUUUCUAGUCCUUUGAGCAAUAUUUUUUUAGCAUAAUGGGUGCUAUGCAGUAAAUUAGUAGGAAUAGUAGAAUUUUAUAUAACUGGCCAAGUCUAAAAAUGUGACGUUCACCUUAAAAAUACCAGAAGUAUUCCAAGACAAUUUGCAAAUAGUGUGAUAGUUUUUGAAUUAUUUUAUUUUAUGCAGUUCUGUUGUUUGCCAUUUUAUAUCUAGAAACCCGCUAGCAACCAGGCAGUGAACUGAAUAAUAGAGUCAACGUAAUCAAUUUAAAAAACAAUAGUCUGGUUUCUGGUUGUUAGGACAAUGUCCCUUGUGUUAAAAUUCCAGGUUGUUGAGAGACUUAACAGAAGGGCACACCAUCCAAAAACACAGAAAAUAAAGAAUAGACAAAGUUGGCAUGAGUAGUUCUGCCUAAAGUUACAGCCUUUUAUAUUUGAACCCCUCCUUGUGUUUGGAUGAAUUCUGUGCGUCCCUAUUUGUGUUUAUCUUUCUUGUUCUUGAUGUCAGUUUGGUUGAAUGUGUUCUUAUGUUGUAUUUUUUAUGCUGUAUUGUCUGUGUACAGUGAUAAAUAUUGUGAUAAUUCUGACAGAAACAUUAAAGCAGAUGUCAUUUUGUGCCUCUU